GUGAGUAGUUCAGAGUUUGAUCCUGGCUCAGGACGAACGCUGGCGGCGUGCCUAACACAUGCAAGUCGAGCGGAGACACUGAGGAGCUUGCUCCGAGGUGUUUUAGCGGCGGACGGGUGAGUAACGCGUGAGCAACCUUUCCUCUACUGGGGAAUAACACAUCGAAAGGUGUACUAAUACCGCAUGAGACCACAGCACUGCAUGGUGCAGGGGUCAAAGAUUUAUCGGUAGAGGGUGGGCUCGCGUCUGAUUAGAUAGUUGGUGGGGUAACGGCCUACCAAGUCGACGAUCAGUAGCCGACCUGAGAGGGUGAUCGGCCACAUUGGGACUGAGACACGGCCCAA
Molecule: ribosomal RNA, 344 nt
Filed under: uncultured bacterium
Lineage: Bacteria
Description: bacterial SSU rRNA
Rfam family: Bacterial small subunit ribosomal RNA
Source: RNAcentral